Molecule: ribosomal RNA, 429 nt
Filed under: Acidobacteriota bacterium
Lineage: Bacteria; Pseudomonadati; Acidobacteriota
Description: Acidobacteria bacterium partial 16S ribosomal RNA
Rfam family: Bacterial small subunit ribosomal RNA
Source: RNAcentral
UGGGGAAUUUUGGACAAUGGGGGAAACCCUGAUCCAGCCAUCCCGCGUGUGCGAUGAAGGCCUUCGGGUUGUAAAGCACUUUUGGCAGGAAAGAAACGUCAUGGGUUAAUACCCCGUGAAACUGACGGUACCUGCAGAAUAAGCACCGGCUAACUACGUGCCAGCAGCCGCGGUAAUACGUAGGGUGCAAGCGUUAAUCGGAAUUACUGGGCGUAAAGCGUGCGCAGGCGGUUCGGAAAGAAAGAUGUGAAAUCCCAGAACUCAACUUUGGAACUGUAUUUUUAACACCCUGGCUAGAGUGUGUCAGAGGGGGGUGGAAUUCCGCGUGUAGAAGUGAAAUGCGUAGAUAUGCGGAGGAACACCGAUGGCGAAGGCAGCCGCCUGGGAAAGCACUGACGCUAAUGCACGAAAGCGUGGGGAGCAAACAGG